This 492-nucleotide ribosomal RNA is filed under the name uncultured Shewanella sp. RNAcentral describes it as "bacterial SSU rRNA". It matches the Rfam family "Bacterial small subunit ribosomal RNA", at positions 30 to 507 of the family's 1533-position model. The record is from RNAcentral. Lineage: Bacteria; Pseudomonadati; Pseudomonadota; Gammaproteobacteria; Alteromonadales; Shewanellaceae.
AUUGAACGCUGGCGGCAGGCCUAACACAUGCAAGUCGAGCGGCAGCGGGAAGUAACUUGUUACUUUGCCGGCGAGCGGCGGACGGGUGAGUAAUGCCUAGGGAUCUGCCCAGUCGAGGGGGAUAACAGUUGGAAACGACUGCUAAUACCGCAUACGCCCGUACGGGGGAAAGGAGGGGACCAUUUGGCCUUCCGCGAUUGGAUGAACCUAGGUGGGAUUAGCUAGUUGGUGAGGUAAUGGCUCACCAAGGCGACGAUCCCUAGCUGUUCUGAGAGGAUGAUCAGCCACACUGGGACUGAGACACGGCCCAGACUCCUACGGGAGGCAGCAGGUGGGGAAUAUUGCACAAUGGGGGAAACCCUGAUGCAGCCAUGCCGCGUGUGUGAAGAAGGCCUUCGGGUUGUAAAGCACUUUCAGUAAGGAGGAAAGGUUAACGAUUAAUACUCGUUAGCUGUGACGUUACUUACAGAAGAAGGACCGGCUAACUCCGUG